CUAAGAAUAUUCCGCAAUGGACGAAAGUCUGACGGAGCGACGCCGCGUGGAUGAAGAAGGCCGAAAGGUUGUAAAAUUCUUUUGUCGGGGAAGAAUAACCAUGGGAGGGAAUGCCCGUGGGAUGACAUGAACCGGCGAAUAAGCCCCGGCUAACUACGUGCCAGCAGCCGCGGUAACACGUAGGGGGCGAGCGUUGUUCGGAAUUACUGGGCGUAAAGGGCAUGUAGGCGGUUUUGUAAGACUGGCGUGAAAGGCUGCAGCUUAACUGUAGCAUGGCGCUGGUAACUACAAGACUUGAGUCACGGAGAGGGAGCUAGAAUUCCAGGUGUAGGGGUGAAAUCUGUAGAUAUCUGGAAGAAUACCAGUGGCGAAGGCGAGCUUCUGGCCGAUGACUGACGCUGAGGUGCGAAAGCGUGGGUAGCAAACAGG
RNAcentral lists this ribosomal RNA (429 nucleotides) under uncultured prokaryote. RNAcentral describes it as "bacterial SSU rRNA". It matches the Rfam family "Bacterial small subunit ribosomal RNA", at positions 355 to 776 of the family's 1533-position model. The record is from RNAcentral. RNAcentral also lists the same sequence under 1 other name.